RNAcentral lists this ribosomal RNA (466 nucleotides) under uncultured bacterium. Its description in RNAcentral is "bacterial SSU rRNA". It matches the Rfam family "Bacterial small subunit ribosomal RNA", at positions 1 to 507 of the family's 1533-position model. The record is from RNAcentral.
CAGUAGUCACGAGUUUGAUCAGUGGCUCAAGAACGAACGCUGGCGGCAUGCCUAACACAUGCAAGUCGAACGAGACCUUCGGGUCUAGUGGCGCACGGGUGCGUAACGCGUGGGAACCUGCCUUUAGGUUCGGAAUAACUCAGAGAAAUUUGAGCUAAUACCGGAUAAUGUCUUCGGACCAAAGAUUUAUCGCCUUUAGAUGGGCCCGCGUUGGAUUAGCUAGUUGGUGGGGUAAAGGGCCUACCAAGGCGACGAUCCAUAGCUGGUCUGAGAGGAUGAUCAGCCACACUGGGACUGAGACACGGCCCAGACUCCUACGGGAGGCAGCAGUGGGGAAUAUUGGGACAAUGGGCGAAAGCCUGAUCCAGCAAUGCCGCGUGAGUGAUGAAGGCCUUAGGGUUGUAAAGCUCUUUUACCCGAGAUGAUAAUGACAGUAUCGGGAGAAUAAGCUCCGGCUAACUCCGUG